This 472-nucleotide ribosomal RNA is filed under the name uncultured Streptococcus sp. Its description in RNAcentral is "bacterial SSU rRNA". It matches the Rfam family "Bacterial small subunit ribosomal RNA", at positions 910 to 1382 of the family's 1533-position model. Lineage: Bacteria; Bacillati; Bacillota; Bacilli; Lactobacillales; Streptococcaceae. The record is from RNAcentral.
UUGACGGGCCCCGCACAAGCAGCGGAGCAUGUGGUUAAUUCGAAGCAACGCGAAGACCUUACCAGGGCUUGACAUGCCGCUGACCGGUUUAGAGAUAGACCUUUAUCCUUCGGGGUACAGCGGACACAGGUGGUGCAUGGUUGUCGUCAGCUCGUGUCGUGAGAUGUUGGGUUAAGUCCCGCAACGAGCGCAACCCUUGUCUUUAGUUGCCAUCAUUCAGUUGGGCACUCUAGGCGAGACUGCCGGUAAUAAACCGGAGGAAGUGGGGAUGACGUCAAAUCAUCAUGCCCCUUAUGACCUGGGCUACACACGUGCUACAAUGGUUGGUACAACGAGUUGCGAGUCGGUGACGGCGAGCUAAUCUCUUAAAGCCAAUCUCAGUUCGGAUUGUAGGCUGCAACUCGCCUACAUGAAGUCGGAAUCGCUAGUAAUCGCGGAUCAGCACGCCGCGGUCGAAUACGUUCCGGGCCUU